RNAcentral lists this transfer RNA (74 nucleotides) under Dendronephthya gigantea. RNAcentral describes it as "tRNA-Arg". It matches the Rfam family "tRNA". Rfam says of the family: Transfer RNA (tRNA) molecules are approximately 80 nucleotides in length. Their secondary structure includes four short double-helical elements and three loops (D, anti-codon, and T loops). Lineage: Eukaryota; Metazoa; Cnidaria; Anthozoa; Malacalcyonacea; Nephtheidae. The record is from RNAcentral.
GCUCUCGUGGCCCAGUUGGUUUGUGCGUCGUACUUCUAAUGCGAAGGUCGAGGGUUCGAUCCCCUCCGGGAGCA